This 400-nucleotide ribosomal RNA is filed under the name uncultured bacterium. RNAcentral's name for it is "bacterial SSU rRNA". It matches the Rfam family "Bacterial small subunit ribosomal RNA", at positions 356 to 773 of the family's 1533-position model. The record is from RNAcentral.
GGGGAAUAUUGGACAAUGGGCGCAAGCCUGAUCCAGCCAUGCCGCGUGAGUGAUGAAGGCCUUAGGGUUGUAAAGCUCUUUCACCGAUGAAGAUAAUGACGGUAGUCGGAGAAGAAGCCCCGGCUAACUUCGUGCCAGCAGCCGCGGUAAUACGAAGGGGGCUAGCGUUGUUCGGAUUUACUGGGCGUAAAGCGCACGUAGGCGGUUUGUUAAGUGAGAGGUGAAAUCCCAGAGCUCAACUCUGGAACUGCCUUUCAUACUGGCAAGCUAGAGUCCGGAAGAGGUAAGUGGAACUCCUAGUGUAGAGGUGGAAUUCGUAGAUAUUAGGAAGAACACCAGUGGCGAAGGCGGCUUACUGGUCCGGAACUGACGCUGAGGUGCGAAAGCGUGGGGAGCAAAC